UUGGCAAACGAAUACGACCAGCUCCUGUUGAAUCCCCCAGGUCCGGAAGGAAGCAAGGGUAAACGGUUGAUGCGGUGCGAUUUUCGUUUGCUUUUUU
RNAcentral lists this signal recognition particle RNA (97 nucleotides) under Cyclobacteriaceae bacterium. RNAcentral describes it as "signal recognition particle sRNA small type". It matches the Rfam family "Bacteroidales small SRP". Rfam says of the family: The non-coding component of the signal recognition particle in Bacteroides Lineage: Bacteria; Pseudomonadati; Bacteroidota; Cytophagia; Cytophagales; Cyclobacteriaceae. The record is from RNAcentral.